This 297-nucleotide long non-coding RNA is filed under the name Setaria viridis. RNAcentral describes it as "long non-coding RNA (SVIR_LNC007485)". The record is from RNAcentral. Lineage: Eukaryota; Viridiplantae; Streptophyta; Magnoliopsida; Poales; Poaceae.
UAAAGACUUGUUCGGGAGGCGCGAUUUUUUUAAUUCCGCUCGAUCUUGAAAAGGUCAAAACUCAAAAGGGGGUUUGUACUUUGUACGCGCCAAAGAUUGUUCAUACUACUUUCAGCACAUUACCGUAGCCUAGUUUUGUCAGCAGUUGGCACGGUACUCGGUCACUCACUCACUCGUGGCUACCACACGCAAUAAACAGUAUUUUUAAAGCCUAAUCAAGCCCUCCAAAUGCGGAAACCCCCCUAAUAACGCUCAUAAUUGCCAAUCAAUCCCACUCCUCCCCUUAUAAAUCCUCUG